This 23-nucleotide non-coding RNA is filed under the name Cricetulus griseus (Chinese hamster). The record is from RNAcentral. Lineage: Eukaryota; Metazoa; Chordata; Mammalia; Rodentia; Cricetidae.
GUCUGGUGUAGACCUGUAACUGC